CCUAAUUCUAGAUCCCCUCCCAUUGAAAAAGCUAAGAGCUGACAACCGCAAAAGACCAAAAACUAGACGGAGGAGGCAGAUUAAUUCUUUGUUCUUGAAUUUCACCAAAAAAAUAGCCAUUUUCCUAUCCCCUUUCUAAUUCUAUCUUCCCAUAAAGAUAUAUCUAAUAUCAAAAGAACAACUGACUUAUUCACAAAAAAGAUGGCAAACGCAAAAGAAAACAAAAAAAAAAGAACAAAGAGAACAGAGAAAAAGAAGAAGCAAAAAUUAGAGGAAGAUAGAUAUGGUAAGUUGAGUGAAAAUUUUGAUGUUGAGGUCUUGAUUGUUCGGAUCUGAGUGACAAAGAGGUGGUGGGACUGUUCGUUCGGUGCUCGAGGUUUCUGGUUCUGAUUUCUGUCUAUACCAUUAUUGUUGUAACCGAGAUGGCAUCGCAUCUUGAGGUUUUGAGGCAGGUGCAUCUAGCCAUCAGUCAGGCGCAUAGAGUGGACAUCUCAGCUUGAGACUUUCUGUUUCGAAUUGUGCGGCUCCGGUUUGAGAGUUUGGACGCAUUCUUGAGUUGGAAGUAGGCUCGAAAUGAGGUA
Long non-coding RNA from Nicotiana tabacum (common tobacco), 581 nucleotides. RefSeq lists it as uncharacterized. Lineage: Eukaryota; Viridiplantae; Streptophyta; Magnoliopsida; Solanales; Solanaceae. The record is from RefSeq and is a predicted model, not a curated record.